Long non-coding RNA from Gossypium raimondii (Peruvian cotton), 2575 nucleotides. RefSeq lists it as uncharacterized. The record is from RefSeq and is a predicted model, not a curated record. The transcript is spliced from 5 exons. NCBI's taxonomy places the organism in Eukaryota, Viridiplantae, Streptophyta, Magnoliopsida, Malvales, Malvaceae.
ACGCGCCUAUUACAUUGCGUACGUAUUCCUCCUUACUCACCAAUUUCUAUUCCCUGCCCAAAGUUCAGUUUAGCUUCCGUUUAGCAUUCUUAGAAUUUCUAUGCCCUGUUUUACCCUCAUCUUCCCAAGCCAAAAUCCACCUCCAGAACUCUCCCUCCCAACAUCAAAUAGAAGCUGCCAGCAAAGUGACCUCCACCGCUCCCGGUUCACUUUCAUUUGAUUGUUUUGUCGAACCAAACGCACCAUUCUGUUCUUCAAAUGCAGUGAGUAGGGAAGUCCAAAAAUAGACUUCUGUUCUUCAAAUCCCAACAAGUAUCUCCAAAGAAACCCUCAAGAAAACCUUUCCAAUUCAAUCAAGCAGACAAAUCAAAAAAAUCCCAGAGUCGGGGAAAAUACAGUUAAAAGCGUAUAGAAAAGAGACAAGGAGAACUCUUCGUCUUCUUCUUCCCGAUGCUCUGUAAGAUGCUUUUAAUUGUAAAGAUCAUACCCUCUAAUUGGUUAAGUUUUGUUUCAGUUCAUUGCUGGUUUGUUUCCGAAUUGUUUACCUUUUCUUUUCGUUUCAAUUUUUGUUUCUUUCUGGGAUUUAUGUUUGUGCUUUCUUUUCUAGGUACUUUCAUUUUCUUCCUUAUAUCUACUAGUGAUUCAACUUCUAGGUGAUUUUGGCUCUUUUAUAUAUAAAUUAUCAAUAGCAGUUUUAGAAUGAAAUUUUCUGAUUUAAGAUGCUUUGUCAUUCUUAAGGAUAGGGUAUUUAUUUAUAACAUUGAUAUGAAACGAAAUUGUAUGAUAACUUAUUUUAGCUUGUCUUGGCUUGGAAUAUGUUGAAAUUGAAAUCAAAUCGUCUGUCAAGGGAAAUUUUCAUAAACCUAGUGUCAAUACCUUGAAAGUUGAAAAGAGGUAAGUUUGCAUCAAUCAGAGGGUUUUUAGGACAUUCUAUUUAUGUCAAGUAACCUUCUUCUAUGUUACUUUGUGUGAGUGCUUUGAUAUAAGCAUAUAUCCGACAUGGUUUUAGUGUGUAAUAUAUACAUGAGGAAAUCUUAUUACUCUUCUCCUUUUGACUUUUAGUGUGUAAUAUACAUGUGUAUUAAUGGUAGGGUUAAUUCAAAAUGGACUGCUAGAUUGGUAAACAAACAUUAGCUGCAUACCAAACAUGGAAAUGCUUCCUGAAGUAUGUCUACCUCAAGUGCCUAGGUUGCCUUUUGGUAACUGCGCUAUUUUAUAUGACAUGUUGUAAUUAUUUAGGUUCUGUGUCUGCUACAAGAAUGAUGUUGUCUAUGUAAUCAUCUGUGUUCAUCCUAUCAGCAUGUGGAGUUUUGCAUCUAACCGCAUUGCCGGAACCUUCACAACACCCAACUAUGCAAACAUUGGCCUGGGAUUUUUUCAAAGUUGCAUGGCAUAUCGUAGGCGCUGAUGUGAUUAGAGCAGUGUUGUUUUUUUAAUUACUCUAAGUUGUUGCCUGCUUUUAAUACAACCACAAUUGUAUUAGUUCCCAAGGUUAAAAAUCCUGGUCAUAUGAGGAAGUUUCGGCCAAUCUCAUACUGCUCUGCUUUUUUGUGAGUGUAUCACUAGGAUUUUGGUUAAAUGACUUACAAAGCACUUACCUGAUGUGAUGCUAAAUUUGUUUUUCUAGUUUAAAGCCUAACCCUGCAAAGACUGAAAUUUUUGCUUCUGGGAUUCUUGAGAGGAAAUGGAGGAUAUUCUUAGAAUUAUUGGGAUUAACAUGGGAAGGCUGCCUAUUAGGUACCUUGGUGUUCCUUUAGUGACCAGGAGGCUGACAGUUAAGGAUUGUGCUCCUUUAAUUGACAAAAUAAUAAUUUGCCACUUGUUAUAAUUAUAAAUUUUACAAAUAUUGUGAUAAUUAUUUUAAUACUAGUUGAUUUUAAUUUGAUUUCUAAUGCUUAGAAGUGUAAAUUCUUUUGUAUAUUAGCACCCUUGUUAAAUUUCUUGCGCCUGGUGUAUCUGACCACUGUUGUUCCAAUAAAUUGAUGUUCUAUGUGAACUUUUGUACGUAUUGGACUGUUAGCUACCGAUUUGCUCCAGACAUAAAUCGUUGGCAAGCUGAAGCUCUAGUUGCAAUUCAAGAGUGUGAUAUUGCUUCCUAUUGAAGCGGCUUGUUUGAUUGCUUCCUCCACCUACAAUUCAGCGUCUUCUUUUCACACAAUCACUAUAAUUAUGUCAGGUGUUUCAGAAUCAAAUGUUCCUUCCCAAUCAUCUCGAGGAACCAAAAGAAAAUGGGUUUCAGAAGAAGCUGCAGCAUUGGUUUCCUGCAUGGUGGACUUGCACAAUGUUGGAACAUUUAACACUGAUACGGGGUUCAAAGCCGGUUACUUAAACGAGUUGGAAAAAAUGUUAGAAAAGACUUUACCUAAUGCAAUGUUGAAGGCUAGACCUAAUAUCGAGUCAAGGAUUAGGUUACUAAAAAGGGAUUGGUCAAUCGUGUAUGACAUGUUUAAUGGCCAAAACAAUAGCGGUUUUGGUUGGGACGACCAUAGGCAGGUCGUUGUUGCUGAGGAUGCGGUUUGGGACUCUUAUUUAAAGAGUCAUAAAGAAGCCGGUCAGUUCGGACAUCGUAGUUUCC